UACAGAGGAUGCAAGCGUUAUCCGGAAUGAUUGGGCGUAAAGCGUCUGUAGGUGGCUUUUAAGUCCGCCGUCAAAUCCCAGGGCUCAACUCUGGACAGGCGGUGGAAACUACCAAGCUGGAGUACGGUAGGGCAGAGGGAAUUUCCGGUGGAGCGGUGAAAGUGCGUAGAGAUCGGAAAGAACACCAACGGCGAAAGCACUCUGCUGGGCCGACACUGACACUGAGAGACGAAAGCUAGGGAGCGAAUGGG
This 251-nucleotide ribosomal RNA is filed under the name uncultured bacterium. RNAcentral's name for it is "partial 16S ribosomal RNA". It matches the Rfam family "Bacterial small subunit ribosomal RNA", at positions 524 to 776 of the family's 1533-position model. The record is from RNAcentral.